RNAcentral lists this ribosomal RNA (497 nucleotides) under uncultured bacterium. RNAcentral describes it as "partial 16S ribosomal RNA". It matches the Rfam family "Bacterial small subunit ribosomal RNA", at positions 28 to 507 of the family's 1533-position model. The record is from RNAcentral.
GAUGAACGCUGGCGGCGUGCCUAAUACAUGCAAGUCGAGCGAACAGACGAGGAGCUUGCUCCUCUGACGUUAGCGGCGGACGGGUGAGUAACACGUGGAUAACCUACCUAUAAGACUGGGAUAACUUCGGGAAACCGGAGCUAAUACCGGAUAAUAUAUUGAACCGCAUGGUUCAAUAGCGAAAGACGGUUUUGCUGUCACUUAUAGAUGGAUCCGCGCCGCAUUAGCUAGUUGGUAAGGUAACGGCUUACCAAGGCAACGAUGCGUAGCCGACCUGAGAGGGUGAUCGGCCACACUGGAACUGAGACACGGUCCAGACUCCUACGGGAGGCAGCAGUAGGGAAUCUUCCGCAAAGGGCGAAAGCUUGACGGAGCAACGCCGCGUGAGUGAUGAAGGUCUUCGGAUCGUAAAACUCUGUUAUUAGGGAAGAACAAAUGUGUAAGUAACUAUGCACGUCUUGACGGUACCUAAUCAGAAAGCCACGGCUAACUACGUG